This 500-nucleotide ribosomal RNA is filed under the name uncultured Lachnospiraceae bacterium. RNAcentral's name for it is "partial 16S ribosomal RNA". Lineage: Bacteria; Bacillati; Bacillota; Clostridia; Lachnospirales; Lachnospiraceae. The record is from RNAcentral.
CACGUAUUUAGCCGGGGCUUCUUGGUCAGGUACCGUCAUUCUCUUCCCUGCUGACAGAACUUUACAUACCGGAGUACUCCAUCGCUCACGCGGCGUCGCUGCAUCAGGGUUGCCCCCAUUGUGCAAUAUCCCCCACUGCUGCCUCCCGUAGGAGUCUGGGCCGUGUCUCAGUCCCAAUGUGGCCGUCCACCCUCUCAGGCCGGCUACUGAUCGUCGCCUUGGUGGCCCGUUACCCCGCCAACCAGCUAAUCAGACGCGGACCCAUCCCGCACCGCACAAGGCUUUCCGCACCGCCCCAUGUGGGGCUGUGCGCAUAUGCGGUAUUAGCAGCCGUUUCGGCUGUUGUCCCCCAGUGCGGGUAGGUUGUCCACGCGUUACUCACCCGUCGCCACUCAGUCACAAGGCUUCCUCCCCGGAGGACUUCCGCUAAGCGCUUCGUUCGACUUGCAUGUGUUAGGCACGCCGCCAGCGUUCAUCCUGAGCCAGGAUCAAACUCUACG